This is a long non-coding RNA of Oreochromis niloticus (Nile tilapia), 2986 nucleotides long. RefSeq lists it as uncharacterized. NCBI's taxonomy places the organism in Eukaryota, Metazoa, Chordata, Actinopteri, Cichliformes, Cichlidae. The record is from RefSeq and is a predicted model, not a curated record. The transcript is spliced from 5 exons.
UAUAUAAGCAGGUAAAUGGAAAUGGAUUCACCAGCACCAGCCUACUGAUGUGUACAGUGCUGUUGCACAGUUUUAUUUUUUAAUUUUUUCAAAAGUGACCUUAGACAAGAAAGCUUAAUUUGUGCUAAUUUCUACAGAUGAAAUUUAAUCUUGUACAAAAUUGAAUCAAAUUGAAUCAUAGAUCAAAUCGAAUCAGGACCUUUUGAAUCACAUUUGUAUCAGUUAAGUAAAUAGUGAUGAUACCCAGGCCUACUGUUAACCAUUUUAAACCUCUACACAGCAAAAAUGCCAGUGUUGAUUUUUCAGUGUUAGUAGAAUUCAACAGAGUUCCGAGUUAGUUCAACACUUAAUCGAGUUAAAAUAACACAUCGGGAGUUGAUUCCUGAAAAGUGUUGGUGUGGAUUUUAGUCGUUACUGCAUUUUAACACUGUGGGUGUUAAAUUAGACCACACCUUCAUUUCCUGUGGAGCUUCGCAUUUCAGAAUCUUCGGUCGCCAUUUUUUCUUGCUGCUGCGGUAAGUUUUAUUCGGUUAAAUAUUAAGUUUUAGAUUGAUGUUAGAACAAGUAACAUGAUAACUAGUAAAAAAAAUAGUAUUUAUAUCAAAAUACAUCAUCUUUAAGUGUCAUAUUUGAAUUUUAACUGUUUUUUGUUUAGCUGGGCUACUGCUAGCUAGAACUCUGCAAAGUACCAGUUACUUUCCUAAUAUUCAUUUAGCAUAAUCUGGCUAUUGGCAGACUGUAAUGAAUAUUACUUAAUAUAUGUCACAGUUUUUAUUAAAUGCCUUUUAUUUAUUUUUUAAUUAAACUGCCAAAGCCUUAGGGUCAGUGGUCUCAAACUCCCGGCCCAGAGGCCACUUGCGGCCCACGUCACCCCUUCUUGCGGCCUGUAUAUUGAGGUGAAGAAGUAUAAUGCAAUUUGGCCCUUGAAGUGACUUUUUUUUGGUCAUUAGCCAAAAAUGAUUUAAUAUGAAGGCAAUAAGGGCAGAGUGUUACAGGCCCUCAUGGGCAGUGUAGUCCGUGCUGUAGGGAGAACGUUGUGUGUUUGAGCGCGAGUUAGGGAGAAAGUAGGAGCUGUUACCGAGGAGAAAUGGAAGAAGAAAGCAUGUAAAUAUAAUAAUAACCACUGCCGCCAAAAGGAGUGCCUGGUUGUAAGAAAGCUGUUAAGACUCGACUUUACACUGUGUUCGCUGACAGUAAAGCUACAAGCCCGACAACCCGACGUAUUAGCCAGAGGUCUCUUUACCACGGUUCAGAGCCGCGGACCUGGCCGAGGUGGUGAUAUGCUGGUUCCUGACAAGAGAUGAAGAAAUCAAAGUCAGCUUUUCAAGACAGCCCCAAGACUCCUCGCAACCUGUGUUCAAAUGUGAGGCUGUUGUCAGGUGAUGAAUGCAAGGAAGAGGCACUCAACUGACACGAAACAUGUCAAAGACAACAUGAAGGUGACAUUUCAACAUAGGCAAAAAGUGGUUCAAGAACCUGCCACAGCUUCUACUGUCCUGGACCUUUUCCCAAGAGUUCUGUACACCUGGCUUGGUUGACCAAGACUUCACAAUGCUGUUUGUUGGGGAGGAAGUGUCUGCUAAGUUCCUUGCAAAGUGGCCAACCAAGCCAAGGAUCAUCAAAGAUUGCAAAAAUCUGUCUCAGAGUACAGAAUUGGAUGAGCUGCUCAUUUCUGCACAGCGUUACUCUGACGAGGGUGUUUGGGACUGCGAGGCGGCUGCCAGCUUUUGCUGCUUCACUUGUACCUCCAACAUCUAAGGGAGGGAAGUCUUCAAAUAUUAGCACAUCAGAUGCUGCUCACCACCUAAUGAAAUUCAUCAAGGUGGGAGGUAGCACGGAGGCUUUUCUUAAGGCUGGCCCCACUCAGCCAUUCGUCCUGUGUGUUGGAGAAAGAAAGAAUAUCAUCCAGAGUUUCUACAUUGUCCUAGAUCAAAAGGUCAUUCCCUGUGUGACACAGAUGGGAGUUGCAGGUUUUGACAAGGCAAAACUUUUCAAGGCACAUUUUUUAUUUGCCGUGUCCUUUGACAAGGCAUUGAACAACUUCUACACAUUCAUCCAGACCACCGUGUAUGGCAUUGAUGUUGGCAGUGUGAAGGAGAGUCCUCGGGUCAGGGAAACAAGAGGAAGUCUUCAUUGUACAGUUUAAAGAUAUCCACUAUUCAGCACUUUGACUGGAAAUGUUCAUCUGUUACAUUUGCAAGAUACACCACACAAGUUGCUCAGUGUUAUUUAAACAUUUGAAGUUCCAGCAUGGUUUGUACCCAGGAAGGUUUUUACGUUUGACCUGUGGAGAGCCUGGAUGUUCAUUUAUCUUUCGCACGUACUCUGAUUACAAGCGGCACUUACUCCGAGCACAUGGAGACUGUCUUCACUCUGAGGUCAUCAAUACUUUUGAGCCUGUACCUAACGAUGGAACCUCUGUUUCACAGCCUGUAAAUGUGGCUCAUCCCAUGACAAUUGCUACACAGGUUCCAGUUGAAAAAAGGCAAAUACUGAACAUGUGCAGCUCUGUUAUUGCUCAGGUACAAUCAUCAGGAGUUCCUGAAAGUACUGUGCAGUGUUUAGUUGUUUCAUUGGAGGAACUGGUUAAUGACAUCCAUGCACAUGCAAAACAAUCUGUUGUUGACUGUUUGUCAACUGAUACCAUGAUACAGAUAUCAAGUUGGGAUGUAUGUUUGUUCUGGUGUUGAAAAUGAGAUGCCUUUGUUCAGUAAGAUUGUCAAUAUAAUUGUUAGAUUGCAUUGCUUAUCUUCUAACUUGUAAGGCUUCAACAGUAUAUUUCAAUGAUCACUUAAAUGCAUUUGUUAUUGAGGAUGGAUUAGAUGUCUUUGCACUGAUCUCUGUAGAUGAUCUGGUGUACUAUAGACCUUAUGAUAGGCAAUUUUCAAAUGGCACUGAUGACAAAAUGUACAUUGUCCCAUACUGUAAUUUUGUAUAACUUGUUUAUUUGUGGUGUAUCAGAAUACAAAGUAUUUUGGAACGUUAA